This 735-nucleotide ribosomal RNA is filed under the name uncultured Fusobacterium sp. RNAcentral's name for it is "bacterial SSU rRNA". It matches the Rfam family "Bacterial small subunit ribosomal RNA", at positions 28 to 776 of the family's 1533-position model. Lineage: Bacteria; Fusobacteriati; Fusobacteriota; Fusobacteriia; Fusobacteriales; Fusobacteriaceae. The record is from RNAcentral.
GAUGAACGCUGACAGAAUGCUUAACACAUGCAAGUCUACUUGAAUUUGGGUUUUUAACUUAGAUUUGGGUGGCGGACGGGUGAGUAACGCGUAAAGAACUUGCCUCACAGCUAGGGACAACAUUUAGAAAUGAAUGCUAAUACCUAAUAUUAUGAUAAUAGGGCAUCCUAUAAUUAUGAAAGCUAUAUGCGCUGUGAGAGAGCUUUGCGUCCCAUUAGCUAGUUGGAGAGGUAACGGCUCACCAAGGCGAUGAUGGGUAGCCGGCCUGAGAGGGUGAUCGGCCACAAGGGGACUGAGACACGGCCCUUACUCCUACGGGAGGCAGCAGUGGGGAAUAUUGGACAAUGGGCCGAGAGUCUGAUCCAGCAAUUCUGUGUGCACGAUGAAGUUUUUCGGAAUGUAAAGUGCUUUCAGUUGGGAAGAAAGAAAUGACGGUACCAACAGAAGAAGUGACGGCUAAAUACGUGCCAGCAGCCGCGGUAAUACGUAUGUCACGAGCGUUAUCCGGAUUUAUUGGGCGUAAAGCGCGCCUAGGUGGUUAUAUAAGUCUGAUGUGAAAAUGCAGGGCUCAACUCUGUAUUGCGUUGGAAACUGUAUAACUAGAGUACUGGAGAGGUAAGCGGAACUACAAGUGUAGAGGUGAAAUUCGUAGAUAUUUGUAGGAAUGCCGAUGGGGAAGCCAGCUUACUGGACAGAUACUGACGCUGAAGCGCGAAAGCGUGGGUAGCAAACAGG